CCAGGUAGCUCAGUCGGUAGAGCAGAGGACUGAAAAUCCUCGUGUCGGCGGUUCGAUUCCGUCCCUGGGCACCA
RNAcentral lists this transfer RNA (74 nucleotides) under Oscillatoriales cyanobacterium SpSt-402. RNAcentral describes it as "tRNA-Phe". It matches the Rfam family "tRNA". From Rfam's summary of the family: Transfer RNA (tRNA) molecules are approximately 80 nucleotides in length. Lineage: Bacteria; Bacillati; Cyanobacteriota; Cyanophyceae; Oscillatoriales. The record is from RNAcentral.